This 24-nucleotide non-coding RNA is filed under the name Arabidopsis thaliana (thale cress). The record is from RNAcentral. Lineage: Eukaryota; Viridiplantae; Streptophyta; Magnoliopsida; Brassicales; Brassicaceae.
AUAAAACGAUAUUUGGUCGGCUUU